RNAcentral lists this ribosomal RNA (267 nucleotides) under Triticum aestivum (bread wheat). RNAcentral's name for it is "partial small subunit ribosomal RNA". Lineage: Eukaryota; Viridiplantae; Streptophyta; Magnoliopsida; Poales; Poaceae. The record is from RNAcentral.
AUGCCGCUGCUCCCCAUCCAAGUGAUGAAGGAUCAGUGCUGCCAGGAGCUGGCCGCCAUCUCGUGGAACUGCCGCUGCGAGGGGCUGCGCGUCUUCAUCGACCGGGCGUUCCCUCCCAGCCAAAGCCAAGGCGGUGGCCCCCCGCAGCCGCCGCUGGCACCUAGGUGCCCGACGGAGGUGAAGAGGGACUUCGCCAGAACGCUCGCCCUGCCGGGGCAGUGCAACCUGCCCACCAUCCAUGGCGGCCCCUACUGCGUCUUCCCAUGA